AGUUGUGCUCCUACAGGAGAACAUACAAGCCGAGUUCAGUGCAUGAGCUCUUGUCUGAAAUGAUACAAUUGCUGUUAGAAGGAAUUAGGCAGGUCGUAUGCAGUUAGAAGGUGCAAUCUCAAAAGACUACUUCAAAGUUCGAGACUUACUCUACAACCAGUAUGCUAUUGUGUGAUUGGAGAACAUAUUGUAUACAUUGUUUCAUCAUACAGUUACAUUAUCAUCUGUCAUCACCCAUUACGGAAACGGAGAAAUUGUUUUUUUAUGAAGACAUAUAACUAUUGAACUUGUAUUUGUAUAACAUUAUCAAUUUCAAAGUCAUUUGUAUACAAUGUACGUGAAUAAAAACAGAGAAAAAUGUUUUUCAUCAUGAUAUAAAACCAUUGAUAUUGUGUUUGUCCAGCAUUAUCAAUUUCAAAGUCAUCUGUCUUCAUUCAUUAACAAGGUGGAAUACCAUAGAUAUAACAUGUUACAGUGCUAUACGUUUAUAUCUGAACAAUUAGAAAACACAAAAGUGAAAAUGUAUUCGUUCAUUUGCAUAAUUAUGGCAUGGUAACAGUGAUGUAUUGACUGUCUUGUAAAAUGUUGUUCUUAAGCUGAUAGUAAAUAAAUAUGUCAUGUGAUAGUCUUA
This is a long non-coding RNA of Ruditapes philippinarum (Manila clam), 631 nucleotides long. RefSeq lists it as uncharacterized. The transcript has 2 exons. NCBI's taxonomy places the organism in Eukaryota, Metazoa, Mollusca, Bivalvia, Venerida, Veneridae. The record is from RefSeq and is a predicted model, not a curated record.